GAACUUUAGUUUUUCCAUUACACUCUUCUCACACCCAACACUAUUAGGCUUGAUGCAUGUAUAUACAUGGUGGGUAGUGAUAUGAUCGAUGAAUUUUGAUACCAUCUUUUAAGGAUUGUAUUUGGUCAAAACAAGUCUGGUUCAAUCUCCUUUGCAUGUCUAUUUUGAACAAACAAAGGUAUGUCUUAUCUUUAUCUUUAUGUUAGAGUAUUUGGUAUUCUAGAAAUAAAGUCACCUUUGAAAGAAAAGAUACUUCCAUAUUGGAAACCAUCAAUAAAGCUUAGAGCAUCAAUGAGAACCAUUAGAAUAUGUUCAACACUCAAGUUUUAAAUUCUUAGGCACAUGUUUUUCUGUGAGAUGUUGAAAUAGUUACUCGUGAUGCUAAUGAUUUGGUGAUAGUUGUGGUUACUUGGUAUUUUGAGACAUUUUCAAAUUAUAAUAUUAUAGAAACUUUGGGUUUGAAAGGAAUCGUGUAGUUUACUUUUGACAUUUGGUGAUAGUUGUGGUUACUUGGUAUUUUGAGACACUUUCAAAUUAUAAUAUUAUAGAAACUUUGGGUUUGAAAUGAAUCAUGUAGUUUACUCUUGACAUGUGAUUUAGAUAAAUUACCUUUUAAGAGAAUUCUCUUAUUUUAGUUCAAAGAAUCCAUGUAAAAUUCGAAGAUUUAUUUCAUUUUGGUUUGCUAAUUGUUGAUUAUCAAACGAUUAAUAAUUGUUUAUUUUCCUUUUCUUUAAAUCAUUAAAUGGUCUACUAAUAUUUAUAUCAAUCAUUUAUCUCGUUAUGCUUUAGAUUUUAUAGACUCAAUCUGGACGAAAUAUUGUCUUCUUUGUAUUGCCUUAUUUUUCUUAGUUGACUUAGUUGUUAAAUGAAAUUCAGUUUGACAUAAGAAAAAAUGUUAAAUAAAUUUGUAGUACUUAUAAAAUUUCAAUGUUUGUUUUUAGUCUUCAUAAUAUUUUUUUUCAUCUUUAGACCUAAAAUAUUUUUCAUUUUUAUUUUUGGUCCUUAUUUUCAAGUCAACUCAUAUUUAUCAUUUGAUUUUGAAUGAUUUUCUUCAUGCAUGUUUAAAUUUAUAUUUAAUUCAUCUCUUUUUUAAAAAUUAUAAAUUUUUGUAAGAAAAACUCAUAUAAUGUUUUAAAUGUGAAUGAAAAAAAUCAUAAAAAAAAUCAAAAACAAGUUUUUAUUUUUCAUAAAUUAACAAAUAAAUUUUCAAAAAGGAAAUCAAAUUUGUUAGGGUAUGCGGAAAAGGAAAAAGUGAAGUAAAAAUAUAUUUAAUUCAAAAUAGUGAAUGAGAGAAGAGAGAUUUUUAAUAGUCGGGUAUUUUUUUAUUUAAAAAAUAAAUAAAUAAUUUUAAUGAUGUUUUGUUCUUUCACCACUCCAAAUUUUUCCAAAAUCAAAAGAAGAUUACAAUUUAAAAAUGGAUAUUACUCUGCUCCACUUCUUCUUUUAAAAUUUUGACCAAAUACAUAAUUUUUAAAUAUUAUCUCCCCUUUCCUCUAAAUCCCUUGGAGCAGAUAGAAUUAAAAUAUUUGUGAAAAUGUGUUUGUUUGGUGCAGAACACAUAAUUGUGUAUGAGAAUGAGACAAUGAUAAAUCACGUGGAAGGUCAGAGCUAAGCUACCACCCUACCACAAGACAUAUGUGUGAGAUUAGUAACCACCCACCAACCACAAUCUAAAUCAUUUAAAUAACCACAAAUGUGUAUGAAGGUGUAUAUUAAUCAUUUACACUUUUUUAUGGAUAAAAACAUUAUUCAAUACUAUUUUAAAUAAGGAAAAUGAAAUAGUUGUUAUGUGAGUUUUAUUUUUUAAGUAUUAAUGAUUAAAAGAGGUGUAGAUUAUUAAUUUAUAUAUUAUAAUUAUUAGAUGUAAAUUGUAAAUUGUAUCGAUGUAUAUAUAUAUAUGCAUACUUUAUCCUUUUCUAUAUUAUAGAGGUGCGGAGCCAGAAAUAAAUGUACGAAGAGGCUAGUUAUAGGUUCAUGUAUGAUUAUUUAAUUCUAUGUUUUAUAAUGUUGGUGAUAGAGUAGUAUUAAAAAGAGUAAUCACAAAGCAAAAAUCAUUGGUGAAGAGAAUGCUCAUAAAAAAUUAAACUUGUAGUCUUCUCUACUAUUUAUUAUUUAAUACUACAUAUGUUUCUAGUUAUAAGUAUUUUUAAGAAUGCUCAUAAAAAAAACUCCAUUUAAAAUUACUAGAUUUUUGUUUUUUCAGUUAUACCUCUUAUUUAUACUUCUAUUUUAUUUUAUGAAAUUGAAAGUCAGAGUUAAACAUUUAUACUCAAUAAUAUAUUUGCAACAUUUAUGUGCAAAAUAGACAUAUUAAAUACACUGUUUUUAAUAUAUAUAUGUGUGUGUGUGUGUGUGUGAAAAUUACAAAAAAAGAAUAUAAUAAAAGAUGGAAGUAGAGGUAGUAAUGUGGUAUGUAGUAUAAAUGAAUGAAUUUGAAAGACACUGUGUGAUUACUGUGGAAGCAGUGAUUGUUCCAACACUUAUAUCGUAAACUAAAACUUUUUUUCGUACCUCCUUAAUAAAAUACCAAAUACAAACAAGUUCAUUAACCUUUAACAUACCUAGUUAAAAGUAUAACCAUAUAAUUGAACUGCAUAUGCAAAUAGAAUUAAGAGAAGUAAGAUGGAUCAACACAAUUUCAAAAAUUUACCUCUUUGGUGUGUCUCUCUACCUGCAUAUGCGGUUCAACAGUAGAUGACAUGAAGAAAUACAAUCCAAUGGUGAUAUGAAUUAAUUGAAACACAGACAAAGAGCUGCAUUAAUGAGCCAAGAAACUUGCUAUAUAUGCAUUAAUCAGAAUUCUCAAGGUUAAUUAUUCUGAGAGAGAGAGAGAAAGAAAGGGAGGGAGGGAGAGAGAGAAAGAGUCAUAAUUACAUGAUCUGAUUAUCUUGUCAAAUAAAUUAUAUUUUACAGGUGACUCAAGGAAUAGCAUCUCAAAAAUUGGUGUCUGCCGCAAACAGAAGUUCACAUAUGGUAAUAAUAUUAACUGAGAAAUGCCCCCAUCCGUCAAGU
This 3012-nucleotide long non-coding RNA is filed under the name Cicer arietinum (chickpea). RNAcentral describes it as "long non-coding RNA (CARI_LNC000373)". The record is from RNAcentral. Lineage: Eukaryota; Viridiplantae; Streptophyta; Magnoliopsida; Fabales; Fabaceae.